Molecule: non-coding RNA, 25124 nt
Organism: Oryctolagus cuniculus (rabbit)
Lineage: Eukaryota; Metazoa; Chordata; Mammalia; Lagomorpha; Leporidae
Source: RefSeq, a predicted model, not a curated record
UAUCCCUUUGAUUUCUAAAUUAUUCAGAGUGCUGAAUUUGUGGUUUACUUCUCAUAAAUCUCUUACAGCAAAAUUAUUGCAAUCAAAACUAAAUUAAUGAGCUUGAUCUAAGUAUGCUAUUAAAAUUAAAAAUAAAACUUGGUGUAGGUGUUGUGGCAUAGUUGUUAAAGCACUGCUUGGAAUGCCCACAUCACAUAUCAGAGUGCAGGUUUGAGUCCUAGCUAUUCUGCUUCCAAUCCAGCUUCCUGCAAAUGCACAUUGAAGGAGUGAAUGAUGGCCCAAGUACUUGUUUCCUGCCACCACAUGGGAUAUCAGAAUGGAGUACCUGGCACCUUGCUUCAGCCUGGACCAGCCCUGGCUUCUGUUGGCAUUUAGGGAGUGAACACCAGAUGGAAGAUGUCUCUGUAUGUCUCUGCCUCUCUCUGUCACUCUUUUUACUUUCAAAAAAGUAAAUGAAUAUUUAAAAAAUGCAAUGAAAACUUCAAUUAUAUUUAAACUCACUUGAAAGAGCAAGCAUUUUAUUAAUGUUCCUAAUCAAAAUAUUCCAUACGUCCAUCAUUACCUAACAAUCAAACACAAGGGUAUUUCAAAAAGUCUGUGACAAAUGAAAAUAAAAGUUUACUACAGUGCAAAGAAUUUUGGAAAACCACACACAGAUUUUUCAUAAUAUUCACUUUCCAUGAAAUUUUUAAAGUACCCUCAUAUAUGUUAAAUAUGGAAUAUUUGGUGUUCAAUGGCUGUUUAGUAGUAUUUGACUCAAAUAGCUUGAAAAUCCAGUAUAUCUAAUGUCAUCACUCUAGCAUAGUAAAAAUGUACACAUCCCACUAUUAAUUUAUUAAUGGUAAUUUAGAGCAGAAUAGCUUCAGAACUUGUUGAUUGUAGUUUAGACCAAAUCUUUUUAUUUUUUAAUAAAGAUUUAUCUUAUUUAUUUGAAAUACAGAGUUACAGAGAGAGGUAGAGAGAGAGGUCUUCCAUCAACUGGUUCAUUCCUCAUAUGACCACACCGGCCAGAGCUGCGCUGAUCCAAAGCCAGGAGCCAGGAACUUCUUGCGGCUCUCCCACGUGCGUACAGGGGCCCAAGGACUUGGGCCAUCUUCUACUGCUUUCCCAGGCCAUAGCAGAGAGCUGGAUCAGAAGAGGAGCAGCCAGGACUAGAACCAGCACACAUAUGGAAUACUGGCACUUCAGGCCAGGGCUUUAACCCACUGAGCCACAGUGCUGGCCCCUAGACCAAAUCUAAAUGGAAUAGCAAACACACAUGUGCACAGAUAAAAAAAAAAAAGGUAGUCUCAUAGUAAGCAUAAACAAAACCAGUUUAGAAUAAGCAGGUCAAUCCAACACAUAGAUGCUUUAUCAGUGCCUUUAAUUGGAUGAAAGGAGGUUUGCCACCACUCAAAUAUGAUGCUUAUGUCGGAGUGUUAUAAAACAUAUUCCUCUUAAGAGCAGAGGGGGGGAAAUAAUGAAAAGCAUGAUGGACCUUAAAUAACAGCUCAACAGUCAUGCUGUAUAAUUGCUUUUCAUCCUUUCUAUCAGCAGCAAGGCUUUAAAACAUUGAUCAAAGAUGAUGACUAUCACAAAGUGCUUAAAGUGCAGCACAUUGUUAAAUUUCCUCAGCCUCUGAAAUAAUUAUAGCAUGAGCAAGCACAAAGAUGAUUCCUCCACCUCCACCCACCUCAAAUGAUUUUCCAGCCAAGGUAGAUAGGAUUAAAGAAAGCUGACAUGAAUGAGCUAUAUUAGAACAUCAAUGUCAAAAGAUAUAUCAGAGGCACUUGCUUACAAAUGAUAAAAAUACCGUGAACAUUUCACAUUAAUGCACACCAGAAUUCAGUCAUUUUCCUCACUGACAAACACACUUUUGAAAUAUCCUGUAUAUGCAAAGCAUACACAAUGGAUGCGGAAAGUGCAGCACAGAGAAAUGAGAAGUGUUUAUUGAUGAUAUAAAGGAGAUAGCCCUCAGCUGCUAGAACUUUACAAAUAAAUAGAAGAGAAAAACCUUUUAUCCAUUUAUUUCAAUAGUAGGUAAAUAUACUUUAAAAUUAUGAUUAUUUAUUUGAAAGGUGGAGAGAGAUCCCACCCGCUGGUUCAUAUCUCAGAUUCUCACAGCAGCUGGGACCGGUUCAGACAGAAGCCAAGAGCUUGGCUCUCAACUAGGUGACAAGGACCUAAGCGCUCUGGCCACUACCUACUGUCUCCCAGAGUGCACCUAUCUGGAAUCUGCAUCCAGGAGUGGAGCCGAAAUCCUAACUCAGGGACUCCAGUAAGAGAAUUAGGCUUCCCAUGUGAUGUCUUCAUCACUGUGCCAAACAUCUGUCCCAGUAAAUGGCUUUUUAAAAAUAUAUAUUUUUAGUUUCUACUAGAUAGGUAUUCUACAUGUGGCUUUAUCAAAGUCUAGCCAUACUAAAUUUGCAUCACCUGAUAAACAAUGACUUAUUGAAAUCUACAUUACUAUGUGUAGGGACACAGGUGCUUUGUAGUUGUACUUUGGUCUCCAGGCCCCAACCUUUUGAUCCAUUUGAUUUCCACCCAACAGAAAUGAAGAACCACCUGCCCCAAGUGCUCACUCUGCUGUUUCUAAUACAGAGCAUCACCUACUUACAGUUGGAGAGAUUUGCAAGAGAAGGGAGAUCUGGUAUUGAAUCUCAACAAAUGGUAUAACUGGUUAGCUGUUUCAAUCUCCCUUAGUCUCCAGUAUUCUAUGGUCUGUCAGUUGGUGGAGGAACACAUUGCUGGUGGCAGUAAUGGGCCCAUCAGCGCUCAACCCCUGCCUUCUCUCUUUUCCUUACCCCUUCCACUGUAUUACCAUCACCCUCCAGAAAAAGUACUCUUGGAGUGAUUCUAAGUGCUUUUCUUCAGAUUAGCUUUUAGGAAAGAAGCUAAACUCACAGGGCGUUUAUGGUACUGAAAGUAAUGACAGAAACAGGCCCUCAAGAUGAGAAUUGGGAGCUGGCUUCCUCUCAGUCCCAGUGGCAACAAGGAUAUCACUAGUGAGGAUAAAUCAGAUCCUGAUUAUUGCCAGUUUGCUUUACUGCCGCAGGUUUGAUUCUCCACUGUGAAGUGUUAAAUGAGGAUCAGGUGGAACGAGAUGGGGACAUAGGCGUAAUAGCACUAACAUUUGGAAGCCACUGCACAAGGUAUUUCGAGGGCUUGCAGUGAGGUCUCGACUUUUUUAGUUGUUCCAGAAGCCUUAGUGCUAAAGAUAAUCAGGCUCAGCUCACUGCUGUUAAGUUAUGACCACCCCAUGCUAGAAAGUCCAGAAGAGUUUCAUAACAACAAAGGAAAGCCAGCCUAGGAUUUAAUCAUGGAGUUGAACUGUAAAAUACUCGGAAUGUUCAGCUUUUGGAGGCUUUCUGACGUCAGAGAGAGAUGCGGCGUUGAAUGAGGAGGACCUGAGAACUUGCAUGAGUCACUGGGAAAGAGCGACCUGCCAACUGCGACCGGUGGAUAUUCUUGAGCCGUGGAAACAUCAAGAAGCAGCAUUGUCGCUAUUGCUUGAUGGCGAGCUUCCUUUGUCCGAGGACAACGUAAAGAAAUGAGCUGAGAAGAAACCAGAUUGGUUACUCAGUGGAGGUCCCCCCAUUCUGUCUUUUGCUGAUUCCAGUGUUAUUGUGGUAUGUAACAUGUUCCUUUGUUUUCUGUAUUUCCUACAAAAUUGGAAGUCAGCUAUAAGUGGUAGCUCUGUCCAUCCUGGUUUUUUUUUUUUUUUUUUUGAAGAUUCAUUAAAGUUAUUUUGUAAGCAUAUUUUCAUUUUCCAUGAACGGGCUGUUUAUUUUAUGCAGCAAGAUUUGCCUUUAAAUUGGUAUUCUCCAUGCUUAGUGGAUAGUUAUUCUAGGUAUAAAUGAGGAAAAUAACUUUUAAAAAUUGUAACUGCAUUUUCUUGUUUGUAUGAUUUGAUGACAUUAUCUUUUUCUCUAUAGGGAAUGUGUCGAUUUUCCUGUUAUAGUUUUCAAAAUUUUUCAUUUGUGCAUUUCACCAAUCUGAAUAUAACAUACCUACGGCUUUUAUUUUGGGGUGUAUGUACAUAUUAUAUAGCAUGAAUUCUUAAGUCUUGUAUCUGUGGUUUGUGACAGAUUGUGUAAAGUUAAAAUUCUUCAAUUAUUCCUUUUUUAUUGCCUUCCUUAUGCUACUAACAUCCUUUACUUGCCCAUAUUAUCCUGCCCUGAUUAGAUGCUUAUAUCUGUAAUGCCUUUAUCAUUUUGUCCUCUUUUUUUCUUUGCACCUCCAUUUGGAUAACUUUUAUUAACCCAUGCUAUUUGAUUGUUUCCUUGAUUACAUUUUUUACUACUUUUAUUUUUUGUUUCUUAAAUUUCUGUUUUAUCUUUUUCAUAGUUCUCUGUUGAAUAUAUGUACCUGAUUAUUCAUGUUACCUAACUUCUUAAUUAGAACCUUUAAUAUAUCAAAAAUAGUUACAUGAAAUUUUCUGUCUGUGUUUAAAAUCUUUGUAAUAUUUGAAGCAAGUUCUCAUGACUGGUGUGGCUUUUUAGAAUAAAUAAAAAUUAUAUGUGUCUGUUACUUUUGUUGAAAGUCAAAUUGAAUAGGACUACUAGAUAUUGAGGUUUAAUUAUUUUAAAAAUGUAUUUUCCAAAGUCUUCAGUAUAUAUUAUGUUGUAGUGUUAACUUGCAUAUAAGGAGGGGGCUAUUUGCUAGGGAAUUUUUUUAAAUGCCUAAAUUUUUCUUGAUCUUGGGUCCAUUUUCUUGGCUUAGUAUCUUCUGUGGAGAACAUCAGAAAAAAAUCGCUUGCAGCUGUUCCAGUUGAUGUACACUGGUAUUUUGACAUGGUACUCGUUAGUAUAACAGAGCUUGAGGGGAGGGUGUUGUGGACAUUUCUAAAUGUACUGAUUAAGUCUCAGUAUUCAGCAGGUGCAGUGCCUCUAGAACUUUCUAGAUGUCAUAGUAAACACAGCAUGUGCUCCUUUGCAUCCCUAAGGUGCUGAAUUAUUGUCUUGUUUUCCUUUCUAUUCCUUGGGUAUUUCUGCCAACACCCUCAUGUUAGAGUUGAUACUUUGAUGUGCCUGGGUUGGUAUCAACAGUGGUUUUCUGUUGCCCUUUCAGAUCCCCUGCCAGAGGAAGCCUUGUAGAAGAGUAUUUUUCCCCCUGUUUUCUUGUUAGUGCCUCCUGUGGUUUUGGAAGGAAAAGUCCAAGAGGAUAUCAAUAUAUGCUAUUCCUGCAUCUCGCAUGUGCUUCACAUGUUCAUCAUCGCACACACUUGAUGAUUUAGUAAUUUGUUAAAUUUCGAGCUGAAUCACCUGAGUAGCUUAGUCCUGUUUCUACCUUUAAUCAUCUGCUGCUUUCCAGAUUUUAGGUCAGUUGUUUGAAAUCUCAGUGCAAUUACAUAAAGCAGUUAAUAUGCUGUUUUCUUGGUUUUCUGUUUUGUUUUUUGCUGGUAGAAUGGAAACAACAAUUCAGCCCUCAAAAAUCUCGGCUGAAACAAUUUCUUCUAGAUCCAUUUUGAAUUUAAAUUGUAUAGAAAGGUAUGUGAUUCAAUGUUUAGAAUCCUCAUAGGUGAUCCAAGUUUCAACUUUCUCCUUUAAUAUUCAUAUAACAUCAGGUACAUACUUGACCUCUGAUAGGUAAAAAGAGGAAACUGAUACUAACCUUAAAGGAUGGCCCAAGUCCUUGGGCCCUGCACCCCAUGGGAGACCAGGAGAAGCACCUGGCUCGUGCCUUCGGAUCAGCGUGGUGCGCCGGCCAUGGUGGCCUUUGGAGGGUGAACCAAUGGCAAAAGGAAGACCUUUCUCUCUGUCUCUCUCUCUCACUGUCCACUCUGCCUGUCAAAAAAAAAAAAGUACUGGUAAAAUUACAUGACCACAAAUAUGGAUUGAGUUCAGUAAAGCAUCAAUUAAAAUUAAUUUCAUUCAGUUCUCUUGCUAUGACAAUUUUUUUUUUUUUUUUACAGAGUGGAUAGCCCAUUCAUAGAAAAUGAAAAGUGGCACUUGGGCCAUCCUCCACUACACUCCUGGGCCACAGCAGAGAGCCGGCCUGGAAGAGGGGCAACCGGGACUAGAACCCGGCACCCCGACCGGGACUAAAACCCGGUGUGCCGGCGCCGCUAGGUGGAGGAUUAGCCUAUUGAGCCGCGGCGCUGGCCACUAUGACAAAAUUUUAACUUUGUAUUGGUGGUUUAUGAGUAUAUGUGUCCUAACUUAAUACUGAGUUCUCUGAAAGUUGGAUUAUUGCUUAGAUUAGAAUAAAUUGCACUUUCCCAGUGCUCACAACGCAGUAAUUUUUGCUGCAAUAUAUUUUAUGCAUCCAGGUGCAUUUAAAACCAAUAAGUAAGUCGUGCUUAGGAAAAGAUUUACCAAAUGUAUUUUAGGGAUGAAAUUUUCUUGCCAGAUGGCUAUUACAUUAAAUUGUCAGGGUAAUCAGCCACAGCGGGGAGAACUCUGACCACAAAGAGGUAUUCUUCCCUGGAGCUCUUUGGAUAGGGAUGAGUUAGAUCACAAGUUUUACAAUUAGAUAACCUUGAUAUUUCCUGAUUUUCUUAAUUUCUGUGGGGAUUUAAAAAUAUUACUUAACCUCUCUGUGGCUUCAUUUUUCUUCUUGUCAGUACUUUCCAGAAUUCUGAGAAUUAUACAUAAUUCUACUUCUAAUUAUAAUUCUAAAAAGACUAAAAAGGAAACUCCAGAGAAUAUUGGGGCUGUUCUGUUCUGUGCCUCCAGAUGGAAAUCAUUUAUUUAAAUUAAAUUAUUUUUAUCAUUUGAAACAGAGAGGGUGGGGUAUGUAUCUUCUACCCACUAGAUAACCCCACAAACAUAUGCCUAUAACAGCCAAGCUUGUGCAGACAAGAGCUGGGAAACUUGGGUUUGCCAUGUGUACAGUGUGUGACUCAAGUAUGUGAGGCAUCACCUGCUGCCUCCAAGGGUGUGCAGUAGCUGGGAGCUGGAACUGGAAGCAGCUUGAACCGAAGCAUGUUAAUGUGGGAUAUGAGUGUCCCACACAGGAUCUUUUUUUGUUUUUGACAGACAGAGUGGACAGUGAGAGAGAGACAGAGAGAAAGGUCUUCCUUUUUCCGUUGGUUCAUCCCCCCAGUGGCCGCUGCAGCCAGCAUGCUGCAACCGUCGCACUUCUCUGAUCUGAAGCCAGGAGCCAGGUGCUUCUCCUGGUCUCCUAUGCCCACGCAGGAUCUUAUCCACUGCACCAAGCAUCGUCCAAGCUAGACACUGAUAUUGUUGUCAUUUCUGAUUUUAGUGAACUUUAGUGCUUGAUAAAUAUAAAUUAAUUUUAGUAUCUUUUUCUGAGAGAAUCAUGUAAUUUUAUUAGAUACUUUAAAAAAAGGUUUUCAAUGCACAAAAGAAGCUAUCUAUUUUCAGAAACAAGGAAAAGACAGAUAUCUUAAUAAAAAAUUGGUUAUACGGAGAAUGUGAACUCUUUACAAACUCACUUUUUCCCUGAUCCAGUGGUCAAGUGCCAGAAAAUUAUACUUAAUAUUGUAGAACUCAGCCAAUUUUGAAAAUCAACAAAUAUGCUUGUGCUUUUCUCUAUAAAUUUUAAAUAAAGAUUAGUAUUAAACUUAGAAUUAUAUCCUGUUCCUCUUCCAAACAAUUGUAUUAACACAGGUACUCUGUCUAGGGGAUAGGAGUCUGUAUCAAAUAAUCUCCCAAGAUCUAUUCCCUUCCUCUAAUGAUUAAUUAGAAGGUACAGUAGUUUACUGAGAAUUCUAGGAGAAUUUUAAUGUUGAUAAGGUUGGGAUAGGGUCAAGAAAUUAUGCAGUGUCUUGUUUCUGUUUACUUUGCAUUUUUUUACCAACUUUUUUUUUUUUAACCUUUUGCCUAUUUUUUUCUAAGCUCCCCAUCUGGGGAAAUAGUGGUUUAAAUCUAUGAUGAUGGAAUUAUUGGCUCAGAUUUAUCACAUGUUUCUUAAUUACUAAGCCCAAAUUGAUCCACCCAGCCAGAUCUACAAACAAAUUUGCUAGAUAAAGUUAUGUCAACUGAAGGACAUGAAGAGAACUUCAAAAUAUUCACUUCUUUUUUUUUUUUUUUUUACAAUGUGAAGGAAGUGAAGAAGAAGGAAACUUUUGAUACUGUAGAAUCUUUAUAGUCAUAUGCUUUGAAGGGGGCUCCGGAGACUAUUGGGACUGUUCCAUUCCAUGCCAGUGACAGAAAUAAUAGAAAUGGAAUUUUAUAGCAAUGCUAGUGUCUAAUAUAUCCAUUUAUUUAAUAUAAAAUUUUGAUGACACGACUGCUUUAAAAACACUGAUUCAUACAGAACAUGGAUUAUGUUAUCAUUUUCAAUAUGGAACUCCUAUUACAAAGUCUGUCAGCUUUUUAAUGUGCUUAUAAUUUAUCAUAUAUAAAUAUUGUGUGUCCUUACCUUCCUUAUCCCCGUCCAAUUUUUUUCUAAACAAUACAAUAUCUAUGCUUUCGUGCUUAAGAUUUCAGUCUUUUUCCCUAAAACAGGCACCUAACCGACCAAUUGCAUAGAGUAUCAAGUUAGCAUAGUAAGAAAAUAUGCAGUUCAUCUGUGACAAUAAUUCUAUGAGAAGAAAAUUGUAAUGCCUUAGUAAAAAUGAUACAUCUUACACAAUAUUCAUUUAUUUCAUUGUAUUUAUUUAAAAGGCAGAACUAUAGAGAGAGGGGAGUGGGGAGAGAUACAGAGAGAAAGACAGACACAGACAAAGAUCUUCCAUCCACUAUUUCACUCCCCAAAUUGCCACAAAGGCAGGGACUGGGCCAGGCCGAGCCAGGAGCCAAGAACUUCAUUCAGGUCUCCCACAUAGGUACAGGGGAACAGGACCUCGGGCCAUCCUCCACUCUUUCUCAAGUGUAUUAGCAAGGAGGGGGAUCACAAGUAGAGCAGCCUGGCCUCAAAUGAGCACCUAUAUGGGAUGCUGGUGUUGCAGACAGCAGCUUAACCCCUUACACCACAGUGCUGGCUCCCAAUAUUCAUUUUUAAAGCUAUCAUUACAUGCACAGAUGUUGCUGAAAUUCAAUUCUGACUAGAUUCUGAUUUAUUUUGGAAAAUAAUGUUUUAGGGCCAACUUGGUUCUUUUCUAUCACCUCAAAUAUAGACAUUGAUAUGUUUUCCCUGAAUUGUGGUAACUAAUAUACAGAGUACAAAAAAUGUAACGUAUAUGAGCAAAAUUGACAUUUUGAGAUUUGAUUAUUGUUUAUAGCCCUUGUCUAUACUCUUGAGGAACAGUUGUUCUACUUGUUGAAUUCUGCAUUUAGUAGAUUAUAAAGUAAAUUGAAAGAAUAUUAUUAUAAACAUUAAAAGAAAAAAAAAAGGAGUAGGAAAUGUGGGAGCGAUGGAGGGAAGGAGUAAGAAUAGUGGGAAGUAUCAUUAAGCUCCUAAAAUUGUGUACAUGUAAUACAUGAAAUUUGUUCCUUUUAUAUAAGAGUUAUAUAUAAAAAGAGCUAGCAUAGAGCCCAACCAGACCAUAUUGCUGCUCAUGUAAGCCUCGUGCCCUCUUCCUUUCUUUCUUUCAUAGGACUUCAGUAAGAUACGUAAUCUUAUCUUUAAUUAGUGGAGAUGAUAGCCUACAUUUUGUUAAGGCUAUGGUAAAUUCAAAAUGUUGCUUCAUUAGACACAACAAGGUCUUAACGUUUUCAUGAAAUAUAUGUGGCAGAGUUUCAGGAAAUGUAAUGGACUGCUCUCAUUUUACUCAUGAGGGCAUUAUCCUCAUCAUCAGAAAUGAAUCUUAAAAGGAACAUAUGUUCAAUAUUUCUUUUGGUAGAAGAUGACAAUUAAAUAUCUGAAGGAGGAUGAGUGGAUCAAAGUGGAGAGGAAAUAGAGAUGGAUGUAGUCAGGAGUUAAAUAAGAAACUCACUCAUGAAAUUUACUUGGAAAGCUCUCAAGGAUAGAAAGUCUAAAGAGGAGUUAAUUAAAAUAAAUGUAAGCAUCACUGCCUAAUUGUAAUCAUUUUCCUCCUGUACCUACUUGAUCUCACUUUAAUCCUCACAUUCUAAAUAUAAAAUAAUGGUCAGCUUUAGUAAUUACUUUGCAAAAGCUAAUCCAUCAAUGACAUUUGAAGAAACUAAGGGAUCUCACAAGGAUUUUGUUUUUGUAAAAUAGAGAUUACUUCGUUACUUUUUAACCUUAAGCAUAAAUUGGACAUUGACUAGAUUAGUUUUCUACUUGGAAGGUGAAUUUUCAUAUUCCUGCAAUGUUACCUAGGAUACCAAGCCCUUGCUACAUUUAGACACCUGCAUAAUUGUUCUAUGUAUAUUAUGUCAGGUCACUUAUGAGGCAAAUAAAAGAAAAUCAUCUAGCAAAGUAACAUUCUAAUUAAAUGAUUUAAAAAUAAUAUUUUGCUCAUGUUUAAGCAUUUUCAAUCCAAAGAAAAAACUGUCUUUCUCUGGCAUGCAUUUUUAAAUCAGUUUAGCACUGAAUAAUGCUUAUUACUUGUAGUUUUCAACUUAAUGUAUUAUCAAAAUGUUUUAUAUUGAUGUUGAUGACAAAAAAUUCUUCUGUAUUUAUUUGUUGAAGGCAAUAGUAAUUUUUAAUUAAGCCUUUUGAAUAAUAUUUGGAUACCUAUGUUCAGGCAAAUGAACUAUGUAUCUAAUAAAAUUUAAAUUGUAAUAAAAUAUAAAUUGCAUUUCAGGACUAGAUAUUGUGCGAAAGGAUUCAGUGGUUUUUACUUACCUCCCUAGCCUGCUUGCUCUCCAGAAAUAUUUAUUUCAAUAUUAAAUAGUAAGCUUACAAACUCUAGCGCACAUUCCAAACUCUACUAAUACAUAAAAUACAGAUAACUCCGUUUUAAAAGCUAUCCCAGUAAGGUUUAAACAAUAUUAAUAUUUUGAUUCUCUUAGACUGUUUUUCAAUAAAAUAGCUGAAGGAAAAGUAGACUACAUAUCUCACUGCAUCACAUAAAAUGUAAAACCUAACCCUUAUAUUAUAUGGAAUACUAUUUUAUCUAUUUAUUUAUGCUAUUUGAAUGUGUCUUUCACUACCUUUCAAUUUACCCAACAUCCUUUAGCCAUACAGGCUGCUGUAUAGAUCACACAACAACCAACAUGAAAGUUGUUUUGUUUGUUGGUUUUGGUUGUUUUCAGUAGUUAUUUUUUCUGUUCAGAUUUUUAUAAAAACUGAGUCAGGAAAAAAGGGAGAGAGUCACAGGGGGAGAGGGGUCACAUUCCCAUUCACUGGUUACCUCUCCAAAUGCCCACAUUGACCAGGAUUGGGCUAGGCCAAAGUCAGGAUCCAGGAACUCUAUCCAUGUCUUCCAUGUGGGAGGCACAAACCCAGUUACUUAUUACCAUCCAUGUUGCCUCUUAGGGUAUGAAUGUACAGAAAGUUGGAGCCAGCUUCCAGAGCCAGAAACUCCAAUGUCGAGUAUAGGCCCUUUAACCACUAAGAUUAGAUGUCUGCUCCUGUCUAGAGUUUUUCUUCUCCUAGAUAUAUAACGGCGUACUUUGUAAUAGACAUCUAUUUCUUCAUUAAAAAUUUACCCCAAAACUAGAUGGUAUAAGGUAACACACAUUGGAUUAUUCAGUUUCUGCGGGUUGGCAGUCUGAGCCCCUGAGCUGGAACUGCCACAUGUCUACAGUCAAGAUGCCUUUCAGAUCUGGGAUCUUGUCUAAAGGAUUGAUGGGAAGGAUAUGUGUCCAAGCCCACAUUGCUGUUAGCAUGAUUCAGUCAGUACCUUGUUGCUUUGUUGAAUCAAGCAGCUCAGUUCCUUAAUGGUUGUUGGCCCAAGCUUCCCUCAGUUUCUUACCAUAUGGGCCUUUUCAUCAUGUUUGCUUUAUCAAAGCAUAAAAAUGAAAAAAGCAAUAAAAUUUUCUGGAAAACUGGAAGUCUCAGUCUUUGUUAUCCAAUUACAGAAAUGACAUACAAUUAUUUUUGUUUAUUGUCUAAAAGCCAGUAACUGAUACUCAGGAGAGGGGUAAUUACACUGAUGGUGAAUACCAACUGAGCAGAAUAACUGAAGGAUUGUUCUAGAAGAUGGCCCUACCACAGUCUAUAAUGCCUUUUAAGAUUCACUCUGAAAUUUACCUGCUCUGAAAUCUCUUCCUUAUAUUUUCAGAUAAAAACUGUUUCUCAGUCAUGUUUCAGAAUAUUACUAUUUUAUCAUUGGUAGAGCACUUAACAGGUUUUAUAAAUUUUUCUCAGGUUUUGUUUUCUGAACUUUCUAAAAGUUUUCAUGAUAUGAAAGUAUGAAUCUUAUUUAUUCUCUUUUCUUGUAUUUUCUCAAUACCCAUGCAGGGCUUGGUACAUAUUUAGCACUGAAUAAAUAUUUGCUGAAUGGAAUGAAUGGGUUGUGCUAAGAAAAGAUGCUAUAUAGAAUUGUGAUAAUAUUCCAACACAGCAAAUUUCUAAUUUUUAUUUAGAAUUAGUUAAAUGGUUCUCAUCUGUUAAAUCAUACUUCUUUAUAAUUUUUGAUAGACUUUCUUUUUUUCCCCCAUUCAUCCAUUGAUGAUUAUCUAUUCAACAUCUUUAGAAAACUUAAGUUGUAGACAAUCUACUGGGUGGUAGGGAUACGGUUGUCCUUGUCUUUAGGAAGUGUACAGUUUGGUAGCAAUCAGGCAAAUAACUUUGACACAAUCAUGAAGGUAAAUGAUUGGAAACCUGGAGGUAAAUGCUAAGAACAAAAGCUUUAGAAUUCAAGCAAAAAUUGACAAUGGUGCUGUUUCUCCUGGUGUGCGUAGACAGAGGUUCAUGAGAACACGAUUGUUUUAAAGAUUUAUUUCUUUGAAAGGCAGAGUGACUGAUGGAGAGGAAGAGACAGAGAAAGAGAUCUGUCUGCUGGUUCACUCCCAAAUCGCUGCAAAGCUUGGCUGGGUCAGGCAGAAACCAGGAGCCUUGAACUCCAUCCUGACUCUCAUGUGGGUAUAUGGGCCCAAGGAAUUGGGCCAUAGUCCACUGCUUUCCAAGAAGCACUAGCAGGGUGCUACAUUGAAAGUGAGGCAGCAGGGGGGCUAGUGCUGUGGCUUAGUCGAUAAAGCUACCACCUGCAGUGCCAGCAUUCCUUAUAGGCUCCUGUUUUUGUCCCAGCAGCUCCUCUUCUAAUCCAGCUCUCUGCUUGUGCCCUGGGAAACAGUGGAAAAUGGUCCAAGAUCAGCCUAGCUCUGGCCAUUGUGGCCAUUUAGGGAAUGGACCAGUGGAUAGAACACCUCUCUAUCUCUCUGCCUCUGCCUCUCUCUCUCUGUAACUCUGCCUUUUAAAUAAAAUAAAUAAAUCUUAAAAAAAAAAGAGGCAGCCAGGACUCAAACAGGUGCCCAUAUUGGAUGCCAGUGCAGUAAGCGGAAGCUUGGCUUGCUACACCACAAUGCCAGUCCUAGAGUACCUACCAUUUUAAGCAUUUAUAUUAUAAUGAGUGCAAUUAAGGUACCCUGUAAGUAUGUAUUUAUCUUCACACCAACCCCAUGAGAUUGUUAUUAUUAUCCUAUUAAAGAAGAAAUGGAAAAAGCUAAAAUUUUUGUAGUCUCACAAAGCUUGUGGGUGCAGUGAAGUAGAGAUGAACACAUGAGCACAUGCAUUUAAUAAUAAAAGCAGAACUUUGGAUUAAGGAAAGCUCAUAAAUGAAGAGUUUGCAUGUCUCACAAGCCCAUAUUUGCUGGGUUUGUCCUCACCUGGUAGAGGAACAUGCCAGGUCCAACACUAAGGGUCCAGAAGUAUCCCUACCCUAAAAUGGAGUCUAUCUUCAUAAGGGAAAUGUGAGUGCAAGAUGUAAUGCAUUGGUUGGUUAAUGUGAUGUGAGGAGAGUUCUAGCUAGGGAAACAGCUUUGUUAUAAUUUACUAAAAUUAUAUAUACAUACAACUUAUCUAAAAUUAUAUAUAUGCACACAUAUGACUCUGCUAAUAUCAGUAGAUACUUUUUUUAUUUCAAAGAAGUUAUUCAAUUUUGCAGAGCAACCUUUCUGUCAAACCAUGAAAAAGGCCGAAUAUAGAUACUUAUGUGACCAUCCAGGAAAUAAGGAGCUCAUGUCUCCCCACCAGCAGAUCAAGAUUCAGGCCUGGUCAGCUUGUCUUUGGAACUGCAUCUUUAGGCCUUUUGUUAGAGAUCAUUAGGAAAUGCAGUUGUUCAAAUAUGAUUGGUUAUGUAUGACUUUAAGUUGUUGAAUAGUGGGGUCUUUGAGAUAAGAAUUUAUGAUUAUUCACACAUUUUUCCCUUUUGAGUUUAGAAAUCAAGUCAAACACAGGAGUCAAGAAAUCAAGUCAAACACGGGAGUCAAGAAAUUGGCACCAGCACCGUGGCCCCCCUGGCUAAUCCUCCACCUGUGGCGCCAGCACCCCAAGUUCUAGUCCUGGUUGGGGUGCCGGAUUCUGUCCCGGUUGCUCCUCUUCCAGUCCAGCUCUCUGCUGUGGCCUGGGAAGGCAGUGGAGGAUGGCCCAAGUGCUUGGGCCUUGUACCCACAUGGGAGACUAGGAGGAAGCACCUGGCUCCUGGCUUUGGAUCGGCGCAGUGCGCUGGCAGUAGCAGCCAUUUGAGGGGGUGAACUAACGGAAAAGGAAGACCUUUCUCUGUCUCUCUGUCUCUCUCUCUCUCUCACUGUCUAAAUCUGCCUGUCCAAAAAAAAAAAAGGAAAUUGGCAUAAAAAUACCAGCAUCAUUACUUAUAGCCCUGAAUUGGAGAUUAUUCUUUUGACCUGUCACAAGUCUAAUAAUAUAUACAAAUGAAUCUGGGAUGGAGAUAUACAAUGCAAACAAUUUACCUAAAAGGCUGGUGAAAGCGUGACUGAGGAAAAAGGAGCAGUUGCAAUAGAAGUCACAAUGUGAUCAUUGGCUAUUUCUGAAAGAUGAUCCAAAGAUAUACUUUAUAGAUACAGGGGAGUCAGUCUUUUGGACUGAUCCUAGUCCAGUUAUUGGGUGUAGGAUUCUCCCUGAUGACAAGCUGGGAACUUGGUCCCUUUAGGUCUGUUUUUACAGAACAAUAUUGUCAGCAGAUCUUGACUAUAAGUUUUCAGCUUCUAGGUACGUGGCCCUUUUUGUAAAUUGAAUUCACAUACUUUGCAUAUCCAGUUUUGAGAAAACUUAUAAGAGGAUAGAUAAAAAUUGAGUUACUGCUCAUGACACCAUAGCUGGUCUCAGGUAUGUAAUUAUUCAUAUUACUAAGUUUAUUGUUUUUCUGCCUGAACUGGAUUGUUUACACUCUAAGCUGACCUCUCUGCUUGCUUUGAUGGGUCUACUCAUCAUACACUUCUUAGGUUGUCACUAAGAAGGGAGUAAUAGGAAAUAUUCCAAUGAAUUAUCUAGAUUAUAUAAACAACAAAUGUAUUCUUUCCUGUCUUAUUGUGUAAAUGAGCAGGCCUGCUUCCCUCUGAAAAUCUAGUCAGGAUGAUAACAUCUCUUCUGGUCUCUUAAUACAUAAAGUACAAUGUUUUAUAUGGCAACUGUGAGCUUAUUUUCCUCUUAAUCUGGUAGAAUUCUACCUGCAAUACCCAGGAGUUCCAUAUUGCAAACCCUCACUCCAAGUGAUACAUGAUGAAUUAGGCCAUUUUGUCAUCCCGGUUUCUCUGACCUAUGUAUUCUACAAAUUUUAUACACACAUAUGCAAAGUAUAUACAUUAUUUAGAGUUAUAUGUGCCCAGAAGAAUUGGUACCCAUUUUGGAGAAGUACCAUCUCCAACUGGAAGUGUUUAAUCUUAAAAGUCUGUUCCAUUUUCCUAUCAAGAAAAGUGGUUGCAGGGUGUGUAUUAUAUGACAGAAUAAAUGGAUAUCAUGAUAUGUGUGCUGAUGUGCAUCCUCUUCUAGAUUCGUUAUGAUGCUGUGAAUGAUCUUAUGUCAAGUGGAUCACUAUAUAAAUCUUUAUAUAGUGAUAUUGGUUGAAGUCCUGUAAGAAGAAAGGGAAAUGUAUCAGGUCCUGUCAAAAUGAAACUGCCUGAUACAAGGAGUCCAGUGUAAUUCAGUUGUCUUCAGGUCAUUCAUUUGUCUCUUCUGGAAGUAAUUCCCUAACGGAUACACAACACUGAAUUAUGUUGGGUAUGCAAAGGUAUCCGAACCCAGAUUAUCCAAUGCAGCCGAGUGUUCACAGCUCUAUUGCUACUUCAUUAAUAAGAGCAGUGGGGUUGCUGAAGACAAGUGGAUUGGCUUGAAUUUGUCAUGUCAAAGCUCUCCCCAUUUUAGAAUAUUUCUCCCCUCUACUGGCUUUCAGGGACAUAUCUGAGUGUGGCUGUAACAUAGAAUAAGUGCAUAUUCACUUUGCCUCCAUAUGUAAGGGGUAGGCAAAAGAGUCAUAGAAAAAUACACAGUAUGUAAAAGCCAUGCAUGGAUUUAAAAAUUGUUUUUGCAUCAAGCUAAAUUUAUCUUUUAAUUUAGUUUGCUAUGACAUUUUUGAAGUACACUCAUGUAAGCUGAGCCAUGUAUGAACUAAGCUCAGACUUGUUCUGCUCAUAUCUAUUUAAAGUGACCCAUACCCUAUCAGUGCCAUAAAGAUUUAAGUGACCGUAUCCAUGUGAGAUGGGGGGACGUAUUGGGACAACACUGGGAAAGAUGAGAAUCUGAAUCACUUGAUUUUAGAAUCAAUUUAUGGACCUAUCUGUACCUUAUAUGUUAUGUAAAACUUUUGUCUUAGGAUGUGUUUGUAUGAACUUUUGACUUGAGAGGUGUAUAACAGGACCUAUUUAUGAUGGGUGUUGUCACUUGCUAUCCUUUAAACAGGCUUUCCAUCUUUACUAGUGCACAGUAGUAUAGCAGGUGCUGUUUGCACAUGGUGGAUAAUUCUUCACUUCCUAUGCCAUUGCCUUGAUACAGAAAGUUAAACAUUACAUUAUGGUGCUCCUGUUAGGGCUUCCAUACUUUCUAAGUGAUGUGAUAUCUAUGCAGUCCUAUGGCCCAUGUAGAAGGCCCCCUUGCAUUAUUCUCAGUCUGUGGCAGAUACCUUUUCUGGAAACUGAGCCUUCAAAUCACUUGGAAAAUAGGUUAUAGCAGUAACACCAAAUGUGGUAUAUGCUGUAUUCACAAUACAAAAAUGUCUGUUAGGUUCUGCACUUCCUUUGUAAUUGUGGCUGGUGCAAGAUGAAAUGUGUUGUCCUGUAAUUAUGAGAAAAUGUACCCCAAGGCUUUGGAUCACUGAAAGCAUUAUUGAUACUAUAGGUCCCCAAAGCUUUUUAGUGAGUACAUCCCACCCUGCAGAUCAUACAGAAUCUUACCAAGUCCUCAAACCCACUUUUGCCUCUUGCUCAGUUGAUUUGAUUACCAUGCAGUUGGUCUAAUGGACCAAUUUGAUUAUCUACAGGAUGCCUAAGACUGUCCGGAUUUCUUGGGAGUAUUCUAUGAGACAAGAAGAGAGAAAUAAUGUUGACUUGGUAUACUCCAUGUAAAUGUGAAGUUCUUUUGGUCUUCUUUUAUAGUAAUAUUGAGGAAGAUUGCAUUAAUCACAUAAAGGAAUACACAGUAUAUACCCAGAUCCAUAUUACUAUCCUCUUUUUUUAAAUUUAUUUGACAGAGUUACAGACAGUAAGAGAGAAAGGUCUUCCUUCCAUUGGUUCACUCCCCAAAUGGCUGCUACGACUGGUGCUGGGCCGAUCCGAAGCCAGGAGCUAGGUGCUUCUUCUUGGUCUCCCAAGCAGGUGCAGGGCCCCAAGCACUUGGGCCAUCCUCCACUGCCCUUCUGGACCACAGCAGAGAGCUGGACUGGAAGAGGAACAACUGGGACUAGAACCGGCGCCCAUAUGGGAUGCCGGCGCCGCAGGCGGAGGAUUAACCCAGUGAGCCACGGUGGUGGCCCCCAUAUUACUGUACUCUUACAGAGAUAGCUUCUCUGGUUCAACAACAAUCUGGAUUAUUUACUUCAAUUUAAAGUCACUAAUUAUUUCCUAUAGAUUUUUUCAUUGUUUUUAAAAGGGCUGGAGUGGUGAAUAAAUGAGAAUAUAAUGGAGAUCAAAAUCCUGUUACUUUUAAGGCAGCACCAGCCUUGUUUAUUUCUUCAGGUAUGUGAUAUUGUUAUUUAAUAACUUAUUUAAAGAAACGACAGUUAUGUAGGCUCACAUAAUAUGCUACCUCAUAUCUUACAGGCCAAGGAAACCAUUUGGGUAUUAUGCUAACAAGGAUGUCAGUUAGACCUUUAGCAAUUCAGCCAGUGAAGACAAGGUAGCGGUUUUGUGAACUUAGUGAUCCCUAUCCUGUUAAACUUGGAUCAUUUCUAUAAUUAUGCUCGGACUUCCACUCCGGCAAAGUUCAAAUUUGCCCAGUGUAUGGUUUCCUGAUAAAUAACCUGAAUACUUUUUAGAAUGGGGUAGGAGAAUUAUAAUUAUUUACAUAUAAUUUGGCUUCUCAGAGUUGUUCUUUAUAGGAAAUUGAGCCCUAUUUUAGUCAACAAUUUAAAUAUUUUGUUGGAAAUCUGACCUUGCUCCAGAGUGGGUACAGCAUCAUUAGAUUUAAUGGUUCCCAUGCUGAGGCUCCUGAUGACAUAUCUGUGAUUCAUCGGAAUUGUACAGAUUGAGCUAUCUCCCAUGUCAUAUAUUUUAUAUAUAAAUAUACAUACAUAUAUACAUAACUAAUCUUUGACUCUGUCUUAUUGAAGUCUGUGUCAGCUUCCAUCUUGAUUUCACUGACACUGAUGUUUACUACAAUACGCACAUUUGUUCUGAUAGUUAAGAAUCAUCCCAUGACCUUCCUUCAGGAACCACUCAUUGGCGUUCCCAUGGCUAUACCUGAAAACAUUUCUGUAUCAGCUUAUCCAAUCACCUUUUGUACAGAGUCUGUGGAGAAACCAAUGCUCAAUUUCUCACCAGUGAACACCUUGUUGUCUGGAUGAAUGGAUUAUCCUUCAGGUCUUCCUUAAAAUACACGUGAUUGGUGCCAUCCUUGUUGAGUUAUGUUGUCACUUAAAAAUGUAUAUUUUCUGAUGGACAAAGUGGGAGAAGUGAUGGGGAUUCUGAGGAAGACAAAUCUUAUAUUUUAAGGAAGUGACGGGAAGGUUUUUUUUUUUUAAACAAGGGGCAUGCAAAAUUCUAACACACUUCCCCAGAGGAUUCCGAAGAGCCCCAGAGUCCAAGAAGAUUUAAGAGAUUUCACAAUCUCAGUAAUUCCAGAUCAUUUUUUUGUGCAUUGAUGUGCACAUCUCCAACCCAAAUAUAAGGAGCCAAGUCUUGCACAACAAGUGCUCUGAUCAUGGUGUAUUGGAAUUACUAAGACUGAAGGUUGAAUUUUCUCUGGCAGCAUGUUACAACUGUAAAUCCUGACCUUAAGGUUUAGCUUUGUGCCUCUAAGUAUAGGAGACAGAGGUGUACUUUAAAAAAGGAGAUUUAUUUAUUUGAAAGGCAGAGAGUCAGAGAGGGUGGGGGAAGGAGGGAGGGAUGGAGAUCCAUCUUCUGAUGAUUUGCUCCCCAAAUAGCCACAAUGGCUAGGGCGAGGCCAGACCAAAGCCAGGAGUUAGGAGCUUCUUCCAGGUCUGCCUCAUGGAUGCAGGGGCCCAAGCACUUGGGCCAUCUUCCACUGAUUUCCCAGGUGCAUUAUAAUGCAGGGAGCUGGAUUGGAAGUGGAGCACCCAAAACUCAAGCCAGUGCCCAUAAAGGAUGCUGGCAUCUCAGGAAGCGGCUUUACCUGCUACACCACAAUUCCAGCCCCAAAGUUGUACAUUUAAGUUACCAGGAAAUACUAUACUUUAAAUCACCGUCAUGUAUUGGUGGUAAAUUCACCUGCACUUGCUGUUCUCCACUUGGCUGAUCAUUGUUAGUAAUGCCCUUAGCAAUUAUAUUUCUCAUAAUUUCUAUUCUCCUGAAACUCUCAGAUAUCUAAACUCUUGAUGCUUCUGUGUAGUCCAGUUCAUCCUUGGGAUACCAGUCAGUUCAGCAUUGGCACUUACCCUGCUAUCUCAUGACAGAGACCAUCAAUAUUUCACAUACCUCAGCAAUGAGACUCUUUGUCAACUAGACAUGAAUAGUCCAUCUCCCGAGUCUCGUUUUUAGAAAUUGUUUCCUCCUCCUCACACCUUUUGGCAUAAUCUUGGUCUCAUAGAAAACAAUCUUAAGAAUAUUUUGCAAAGCUUUAUGGAAUAAUAUCUUUAAGCUCUUCAGAGAUAACUUAGAUUGAAGUGGUAGGGAUGAGGAGGGGAGAUAGAGAAGGAAGCUUUGUACGCAAGCAUUAAAUAAUCACUGAAAGCAAACUAGGGGAAGGAAAAACAAUUUUGAGUAAACAACUCUUUUUGUGUAAGAAAAUUUUUCAGGUGAUUCAGCUAUGGCCUAUUCGAUAGAUAACACUGUCAGUCCUGAAGGGAGUACAUGAGAAGGAUACUGCAGUGUUUAUAAUUAUAUCCAUGGUGAAAUGGUUUUACUACAACUUUACCUGUAUAAUCAGAUAUAAUACCUAUUUCCUCCUCUUUUCUACACACACACACACAGCCUUUAUGUGAAUAAGGGCUGCCAUUGUACUUUUCCACAUAAUUUCAGAACCUGCACAUUUUGAAGAGAGUUUAUUUAAAGGAUGACAAAAUACUGUAAUGACUACAUUAACAUUAAUUGUUCUUUUGUGCUAUCUUCCCAAUCAUAUAAAUCACGCUUUUCCCAUGGAAAGGAGGAGCAAGCAAUUAGAGUGCCCAGCAGAAGAAGACAAAACACAAAAUGAAGACGUGAGAAUGGAAUACCAUUGAAUACUCUCUAAUUGUUUGUACUCAGUGCACCUCAAACCUAGCAGUAUAUUAGAUUAUCUCAAAUAGAUUCUAUAAUGCACUCGUAACUGGUCUCAGCACUGACCAGUUAAGUCAGAAUCUCAGACAAUGGUUCUGAUCCACUUCUACGUUCUAAAUGCUUAAUAAAUAAAUCUAAAAUCAGUAAUUACAGUUACUGAUUAUGCUUCAAUCAACCACUGCUGUAGCUGCAUCCCUGAACCAGAGGAGACCAGCUGUCAUAAGUCAAUGUUUAUAAUCCUGCUGGACCAGUACAAAUCAUUGCUCCUUUGUGAAUCUUUUUGGAACCAUUGGAAGACAAGUUUCUUGUUUGAUCCUCAGUAGGCUAUGACACAGAUGAAGAAUGCACUGCUUCCUGAGCAGAAAGAGUAAUCUUUAUUCUAUCUUCCAUCUUGAAUUAUUCCUCAAAAAGUGUUAUGAGUCUAAGUGGCAACAUAAAAAUUCUAUGAAUAUUUUAAAAUUAAUGAUGGUAAAAAAUAAUGAAAUCAUUGAGUCCUUUAAAACUAUUAAGAGUCCAUGGAGAAAUUAAUGUUCAAGAAAUAAAUUAUCUUCUCUGUUUAAAUUAAGGAAAUAAAAAGUCCAUAUAUGUUAAACAAGUGCUAAAUUAAAAGUUUAAUUUUUGUUCUGUUAAAUCUUUAGCUAAAAUAAUAUCACUGAGAUAUUUGGAUAGUAUCAUCAUUCUUUCAUUUCAAUAAAUAGAACCUUACAAGAACUUUGAAUAUGGUCUUAUCUCCAAACCUCUGAUAUGUUCAACAUUUUAAAAUCUGAAGGACUUCUUACAUAGCUUAAAGUUACCAUAUAUUAUUCUUCAUAAGUGCAAACUCUAAACACAGACAGCAGUCCUUACAGAAUCACUUAAUGUUCCCAAAGACCAUGGGAGCAGCAGGUGUUUGGAGCAGGGGUUAGGAUGCUUGUAUCCUUUAUUUGAGGGACUGGUGAAAUCCUGGCUGCCCUGUUUCUGAACCAGCUUCCUAGAUUAUGGCUCGAGUACGUGGAUCCUUGCUACCCACAUUGGACACCUGGAUGGAGUUUUAUUAGACUCCUGAUUUUGGCUUGGCCCAUUGCUGACUUUUGCAGGCAUUUUGGGGGAAUAGGAGAUUGAUCUCUAUUUCUCUCUGCUUCUCGAUCAAAAUGAAAAUAAAUAAAUAAAAAAUUUUUAAAAGACCAUAGCAGAGAAUUAGUCAUUUCUGAUGGAAUGAAUUAGAGGAAAAAAAAUUCUGGUUGUAACCUUGUCAGGAUGAAUAUAUCUGUACAAGAUUUCCAGAAUCCACAAGUCAUGAAUUUAAACUCAAUUAAGAUAAUUACCUAACAGGAAGUUAAAUGUUAUGAAUCCAUCCAAGGGAUUAGAAAACUUCCCAAACUUCCCUGCUGUUUCAUAUUAAGCAUAUUUUAGAAUCUAUUCUCAUGAUGUAUAUUUUAUAUAACAUAUCCAUUUUCCCCUGUAGAAUUGUAAUAUGCCUUGUUGAAAUGUAGAUUUUGAAUUGAUAUAUUUGGAUUUUGGUCUAGGAUUGUCUUAUCUAAUGAUCUCCUAGGGCUUCCUGAAGACAUAAUUCUGAGGAUAACACUUCCAGUACCCAUGCCUUAAAGCAAUGAGUCUCAAACUAGAGAUUCUUUAGUAGAAGCAUAAAGAAUACCUGGAAUCUUGUUAGGAACCCAAAUUCUCCGACUGCAUACAAGAUAUUCUGAGGAUUGGGUCCUAGUAACCUGUCUUUUAAUACUCUUUUAACACAUUAUUCACAUUAUUCUGGGAACUACUGCUUAAGAAUAUUGCUAUUCUUUCUUUCAUAGCCUUAUUGAGGGGUAAUUGUUAGAAAUUACAGAUAAGUACACAAUUUGCAACCAUCAAUACGAUCAAGAUAAUGAACAUAUCAAACAAUCCUCUCCCUCUCCCCAAAUAAUAUAUUUCCCCUUGGUAAUCCUUGGCCUGCUUUAAACAUCUGUUGCCGCCCCUUCCCCAAAAUGAAAGUACAAAGACAAAUUGUCCUAUUUUGGGCUAUUACAGAUUACUUUACCUUGCAUAUAAAUAGUUGCAUAUAAAUGGGUGCAUAGAUACUAUGUGCAUUUUUGGGGCUGGUGGGAAUGAGUUUGCUUCCUUUCACUGGUUUGUGAUUCCUGUUGUGAUAGGUGUCAAUGGUCUAUUCCUAAACUAUUUUAUUCUAAUUAAUAUUUGCCUAUUAAACAUUUGGAUUAUUUCUAGUUUUUAGCUAUUACAAAUAAAGUCACUAAACAGGUGUGUGUAUAUAUACAUACAUACAUAUUUCUUUAUGGACAUAUUUUUGCUUUUCUCUUGAAUAAAUAACUCAGGUUAGUAUGGUUAGGUCAUGGGGUUGGCACUGUGGCAUAGUGGGUAAAGCUGCUGUCUACAGUGCCAGCAUCUAGAUGGGCACCAGUUCAAGACCCAGCUCUUCUACUUCCAAUCCAGCUCUCCGCUAUGGCCUGGGAAAGCAGUAGGUGAUGGCCCAGGUCCUCGGGCUCCUGCACUCACUUGGGAGACCCUGAAGAAGCUUCUGACUCCUGGCUUCAGGUUGGCCCCGGUCCAGCUUUUGUGGAAAUUUGGGGAAUGAACCAGCCAGAUGGAAGAUAUUCUCUCUCUCUCUCUCUCUCUCUAAGUUUACCUUUCAAAUAUAUAUAUAAAUCUUUAAAAAAAAAAUGGUUAGGUCAUGAGGAAAUUAAUGCUUAGGUUUUUAAGACACAAACUUUUCCCAAUGAUCAUAUUUUGCUUUCCUAUCAGCAUUUUUCCUCAUAUUCUCCAACAUGAUGUAUGUAUGUUUUUUUUCAAAUUUUAGAACUUCUAACUGGUUUAUAUUCAUUUCAUAUCUAUACUCAUAUUUUAAGUUACAUUCAUCUAAUUAACAGAAUUGACUAUUUCUCUCAGCUUGUUUUUCCAUCUCUAAAUCUUUUUCUUACAUGCUUGCUUAUAGUAGAUUUGUACAUAUUAUCUAUACAAGUGUUUCAUCAGAUAUAUACCUUGCUAAUAUUUUUAAAAUUAUUUUUAUUUGAAAGGUGGGAAAGGGAGAGAAAGAAAGAGGGGAAGAGGGAGAGGGAAAGAAAGAGAGAUCAAUUGACCUCUCAUCUUUCAUUUCUCUCUCCAAAUGUCCACAACAGCCAGAGCUGGGCCCAGCUAAAACUAAGACCUUGGAAUUCCAUCUGAGUCUCCCUUGUGGGUGGUAAGGAUUGAAGUACUUGAACCUUCAUCUGCUGCCUUUGAGGAUACAUAUUGGCAGAAAGCUGGAUCAGAUGUAGCGUAGCCAGCAUUCAAACCAGGCUUUCUGAUAUGAGACACCGGCUUAGUAAGCCGUGGCUUAACCUGCUGCAGUACCUAACCUAGUCUGUACAUACAAGUUAAUGUGAGAUGAACUAUAUACAUAAAACUGAAAGGCAUAAAACCUAUUUAAGAGAAAAUGUAGAAAAACAAUGUAAUACCUUUUGGGUAAACAUUUUUUGAAUCAGAGCACUAAGCACAACCACACAACCAUCAAAUAAAACAUAAAAUAGCCUUUGAAGUUUUAAUGUAAUCAUACAGAUAGGAUUAAGUGUUUGGCAAUAAUAAUAGAUAUAGUUAAAAAGGAGGCCAGCGCCAUGGCUCAAUAGGCUAAUCCUCCACCUAGCGGCGCAGGCACACCGGGUUCUAGUCCGGUCGGGGCGCCGGAUUCUGUCCCGGUUGCCCCUCUUCCAGGCCAGCUCUCUGCUGUGGCCCAGGAGUGCAGUGGAGGAUGGCCCGAGUGCUUGGGCCCUGCACCCUAUGGGAGACCAGCAGAAGCACCUGGCUCCUGGCUUCAGAUCAGUGCGGUGCGCCGGCCGCAGCACGCCAGCCACGGCGGCCAUUGGAGGGUGAACCAAUGGCAAAAAGGAAGACCUUUCUCUCUGUCUCUCUCUCCCUGUCCACUCUGCCUGUCAAAGAAAAAAAAAAAAAAAAAGGAAUGAAUGCUCCAACAUAGGAAGCAGUCCAUAAAGCAGACUCACAGAAGGACAAUCACUUUAAGUAGCAAUCUGACCUCAGCAUUGGCCCUUAAGGGAUUCUGUUUUGGCUGAAAAGCAAAUGAGAGCAUUUCAGGCAUGGAAAGCCAAGACACUGUAGCAAAAAGUGUCCUACAUGAAGGACUUCUGUGGGUGAGACACCAGUGGAAAAAGUGUGGCUAUCAAAGAAGGAUGUACUUUUCUCUAAAGGGAGGAGAGAACUUCCACUUUGUUUAUGGCCUUGUAUAAACACUAAAGGAGUUUGUGGAUCCAAAAGACUUACAUAGUCUUGGCAGCUCAUGUCAGGAGACUCAGGUGACCACUGACAUCAUACAUAAGGGUGUUAAUUGUUAAAUUAACAGUGGAGUCACUGUGCACUAACUUCCCAUGCAGGACCUCUCUCUUCAAGGAGUUGUAUCAUGAGUCUUAAUAAUAAAACUUGUUCUCAAAGAUUUACAUUGUUUUAGUGUAUUAAAUGGAGGAUAUUCUUAUGUCUCAUAAGAGAUAGUUAUGUCUAAGUGCUCACAAAAGUAUCAUUCUUGGGUCCUUCUUUAAAGCUAAUUAAGUUUCUCAAAAACAAUGCUUAAAAAUGUGAAAUUAACUUCAAGAUGCAAUGACUUUGAACAGCCCUUGUCUCAACUGUUUAGGAAAAGGGUUUUUUUUUUUU